This 1797-nucleotide ribosomal RNA is filed under the name Enterobacter cloacae. RNAcentral describes it as "bacterial LSU rRNA". It matches the Rfam family "Bacterial large subunit ribosomal RNA", at positions 1 to 1816 of the family's 2925-position model. Lineage: Bacteria; Pseudomonadati; Pseudomonadota; Gammaproteobacteria; Enterobacterales; Enterobacteriaceae. The record is from RNAcentral.
GGGUUGUGAGGUUAAGCGACUAAGCGUACACGGUGGAUGCCCUGGCAGUCAGAGGCGAUGAAGGACGUGCUAAUCUGCGAAAAGCGCCGGCGAGGUGAUAUGAACCUUUGACCCGUCGAUGUCCGAAUGGGGAAACCCAGUGUGUUCCGACACACUAUCGUUAACUGAAUACAUAGGUUAACGAGGCGAACCGGGGGAACUGAAACAUCUAAGUACCCCGAGGAAAAGAAAUCAACCGAGAUUCCCCCAGUAGCGGCGAGCGAACGGGGAGCAGCCCGGAGUCUGAAUCAGCUUGUGUGUUAGUGGAACGGUCUGGAAAGUCCGACGGUACAGGGUGAUAGUCCCGUACACGAAAAUACACUUGCUGUGAACUCGAAGAGUAGGGCGGGACACGUGGUAUCCUGUCUGAAUAUGGGGGGACCAUCCUCCAAGGCUAAAUACUCCUGACUGACCGAUAGUGAACCAGUACCGUGAGGGAAAGGCGAAAAGAACCCCGGCGAGGGGAGUGAAAAAGAACCUGAAACCGUGUACGUACAAGCAGUGGGAGCACCUUCGGGUGUGACUGCGUACCUUUUGUAUAAUGGGUCAGCGACUUAUAUUCUGUAGCAAGGUUAACCGUAUAGGGGAGCCGAAGGGAAACCGAGUCUUAACUGGGCGUUAAGUUGCAGGGUAUAGACCCGAAACCCGGUGAUCUAGCCAUGGGCAGGUUGAAGGUUGGGUAACACUAACUGGAGGACCGAACCGACUAAUGUUGAAAAAUUAGCGGAUGACCUGUGGCUGGGGGUGAAAGGCCAAUCAAACCGGGAGAUAGCUGGUUCUCCCCGAAAGCUAUUUAGGUAGCGCCUCGUGAACUCAUCUUCGGGGGUAGAGCACUGUUUCGGCUAGGGGGCCAUCCCGGCUUACCAACCCGAUGCAAACUACGAAUACCGAAGAAUGUUAUCACGGGAGACACACGGCGGGUGCUAACGUCCGUCGUGAAGAGGGAAACAACCCAGACCGCCAGCUAAGGUCCCAAAGUCAUGGUUAAGUGGGAAACGAUGUGGGAAGGCACAGACAGCCAGGAUGUUGGCUUAGAAGCAGCCAUCAUUUAAAGAAAGCGUAAUAGCUCACUGGUCGAGUCGGCCUGCGCGGAAGAUGUAACGGGGCUAAACCAUGCACCGAAGCUGCGGCAGCGACACUAUGUGUUGUUGGGUAGGGGAGCGUUCUGUAAGCCGUUGAAGGUGUGCUGUGAGGCAUGCUGGAGGUAUCAGAAGUGCGAAUGCUGACAUAAGUAACGAUAAAGCGGGUGAAAAGCCCGCUCGCCGGAAGACCAAGGGUUCCUGUCCAACGUUAAUCGGGGCAGGGUGAGUCGACCCCUAAGGCGAGGCCGAAAGGCGUAGUCGAUGGGAAACAGGUUAAUAUUCCUGUACUUGGUGUUACUGCGAAGGGGGGACGGAGAAGGCUAUGUCAGCCGGGCGACGGUUGUCCCGGUUUAAGCAUGUAGGCGGAGGUUCCAGGUAAAUCCGGUACCUUAUUAACGCUGAGGUGUGAUGACGAGGCACUACGGUGCUGAAGUGAUAAAUGCCCUGCUUCCAGGAAAAGCCUCUAAGCAUCAGGUAACACGAAAUCGUACCCCAAACCGACACAGGUGGUCAGGUAGAGAAUACCAAGGCGCUUGAGAGAACUCGGGUGAAGGAACUAGGCAAAAUGGUGCCGUAACUUCGGGAGAAGGCACGCUGAUAGGUAGGUGAAGUCCCUGCGGACGGAGCUGAAAUCAGUCGAAGAUACCAGCUGGCUGCAACUGUUUAUUAAAAACAC